This 556-nucleotide ribosomal RNA is filed under the name uncultured Pseudomonadota bacterium. RNAcentral describes it as "bacterial SSU rRNA". It matches the Rfam family "Bacterial small subunit ribosomal RNA", at positions 97 to 630 of the family's 1533-position model. The record is from RNAcentral. Lineage: Bacteria; Pseudomonadati; Pseudomonadota.
GGCGCACGGGUGAGUAACACGUAAGUAAUCUGCCCCUAAGUCAGGAAUAACAUUGCGAAAGCGAUGCUAAUACCUGGUAAGCCCACGACUUCCUCGGAAGAUGCGGGAAAAGGUGGCCUCUGACAUAAGCUAUCACUUAGGGAUGAGCUCGCGGACCAUUAGCUUGUUGGUAGGGUAACGGCCUACCAAGGCGAUGAUGGUUAGCUGGCCUGAGAGGGUGGCCAGCCACACUGGAACUGAGACACGGUCCAGACUCCUACGGGAGGCAGCAGUGGGGAAUCUUGCGCAAUGGGGGAAACCCUGACGCAGCAACGCCGCGUGAGUGACGAAGGCCUUCGGGUCGUAAAGCUCUGUCAGAUGGAAAGAAUUAACGUGCUGAAAAUAUUGGCAUGUGAUGACGGUACCAUCAGAGGAAGCACCGGCUAACUCCGUGCCAGCAGCCGCGGUAAUACGGAGGGUGCAAGCGUUGUUCGGAAUUAUUGGGCGUAAAGCGCGUGUAGGCGGGAAGACAGGUCAGGUGUGAAAUCCCUUGGCCUAACCAAGGAACUGCAUCUGA